Molecule: long non-coding RNA, 865 nt
Organism: Leptopilina boulardi
Lineage: Eukaryota; Metazoa; Arthropoda; Insecta; Hymenoptera; Figitidae
Exons: 7
Source: RefSeq, a predicted model, not a curated record
UAGACGUUGUUAGCGUGACUGUUAAUUUUUUAAUUUUAAAACAAUAUUAAAUAUAUUUUAUUUUUCUUUAGGUAUCGUAAUUUAAUUAAUUUUUAUAGCUUCGAGAGUGUUCUAAUUUUUUUUCUUUAAUUUGUGAAUAAAAAAAUUGUGGUCUUUUGGAAAUUUUUUUUUUUGGCAUUUUAGUAAAUUUUUUGUUCCGGGAGUGUUCGAAAUUGUUAACAUCUGAUUCCUUUAGAGAAAGUAUUUUGUUUCUUAAUAUUAAACACGUGGUUUCGGGAGUGUUCGAAAUUUUUAAAAUCACAUGUAUUUCCGAUAGAUUAUAUCGUCCAAAAUAUACAUAUACAAUAUAUGAUUUGUAGGCUAAGGUGCAGUUCUAGUUCAACCAUACUGGUGUACAAAUCGGCCAUUUUAUUGAAGUAGCUAUACAUCAGAAGAAUCUGCGAACACUUUGUUGGAGUAAUCAUCGUUCGGUGCCGUUCCAGUUUAAUCAUGCUGAUGUAGGCCAUUUUUUAUUCUAUCCUCGAUGGCUGAUGAUGUCAAGUACUUCAAAGAGGGCUAUUUAGUUUAAAAAGAAUCUCCCUGAAGCUAAAAAAUUCGUUAUUAAGAUUAUGUUCGCUGUUUUUAACCUCAAACCCAAUGGCCUCUGGACGUAUACCAGGUGCGGUCACAUAUUGGAUCAGCAAAUUUGGAUUUUGUAAAUUUUACAUAUAAUUCAGAAUCAACGACUCUAAAAAUUUUGGAUAUACUCCUUGAUACACAAACCUAAUUAGUUAUGAAUUAGAUAUAUCAAAGGUUAAAUAAAAUUGGAAACAACUGUUAAUAAAAAAAUAAAAAUAUAAAUAAUAAUAAAAACUACGAUCAACUA